ACCAGGAGUCCUUGGCUAAGGAGAGCUGAUGGAGGAGCCGUGCACCUGGAGAACCAUGAGUCUGCCUGCCAACAAGUAGUACUGGGAUAGGGAGGUGAUGGAGGACCUGCCUGGUGAAGGACGUCAGGGUGGGGCGAGUGACACCCGACUCCAAGGGGAUAUCCACUGAGGAGAGAGCUGAAGGAGCCAUGCAUCUGGAAGGUGCAGUUGAAAUGCUGUGUCCAGUCUGGGACAGACAGACCUGAGCUGCGUCAACCCUGUAUCUCUGACCAGCUG
Molecule: long non-coding RNA, 276 nt
Organism: Gadus macrocephalus (Pacific cod)
Lineage: Eukaryota; Metazoa; Chordata; Actinopteri; Gadiformes; Gadidae
Exons: 3
Source: RefSeq, a predicted model, not a curated record